UGGGGAAUAGUGGACAAUGGGCGCAAGCCUGAUCCAGCCAUGCCGCGUGAGUGAUGAAGGCUCUAGGGUUGUAAAGCUCUUUCACCGGUGAAGAUAAUGACGGUAACCGGAGAAGAAGCCCCGGCUAACUUCGUGCCAGCAGCCGCGGUAAUACGAAGGGGGCUAGCGUUGUUCGGAUUUACUGGGCGUAAAGCGCACGUAGGCGGACUAUUAAGUCAGGGGUGAAAUCCCGGGGCUCAACCCCGGAACUGCCUUUGAUACUGGUAGUCUUGAGUUCGAGAGAGGUGAGUGGAAUUCCGAGUGUAGAGGUGAAAUUCGUAGAUAUUCGGAGGAACACCAGUGGCGAAGGCGGCUCACUGGCUCGAUACUGACGCUGAGGUGCGAAAGCGUGGGGAGCAAACAGG
This 404-nucleotide ribosomal RNA is filed under the name Actinomycetes bacterium. RNAcentral's name for it is "Actinobacteria bacterium partial 16S ribosomal RNA". It matches the Rfam family "Bacterial small subunit ribosomal RNA", at positions 355 to 776 of the family's 1533-position model. The record is from RNAcentral. Lineage: Bacteria; Bacillati; Actinomycetota; Actinomycetes.